GAAAUGCGAUAAGUAGUGUGAAUUGCAGAAUUCAGUGAAUCAUCGAAUCUUUGAACGCACAUUGCGCCCUUUGGUAUUCCUUAGGGCAUGCCUGUUCGAGCGUCAUCUAAACCUUCAAGCCCUGCUUGUUGUUGGGUGCCUGUCCCGCCUCCGCGCGCGGACUCACCUCAAAUCCAUUGGCGGCCCCCGCGUCGGCCACGAGCGCAGCAGAAACGCGAACUCGUGAGCCCGUCCGGGCGGCUCCCAGAAGCUACACCCACCCAGUUUGACCUCGGAUCAGGUAGGGAUGCCCGCUGAACUUAAGC
RNAcentral lists this unclassified non-coding RNA (305 nucleotides) under plant metagenome. RNAcentral describes it as "partial contains 5.8S ribosomal RNA, internal transcribed spacer 2, and large subunit ribosomal RNA". The stretch from base 1 to 105 matches the Rfam family "5.8S ribosomal RNA", at positions 50 to 154 of the family's 154-position model. The record is from RNAcentral.